GAUUUGUCACAGUCCCUGCAGCAGAGAGGCAGCCCAAGGCUCUGCAAAUCACUGCCACUUCAUCACGGCUGCAGCCACCCUUGUGCAGGCCCCAGCUCGAGGUCUUCUCACUCGAUGCUGGUAUGGGGGUGAUGAUCAUCCAUCUGGCAGGUCACAAGGACAACCCUCGGGAUGGGAAAUCUGAUCCUAAUUGCUGAGUCACAGCUAAAGGGCAGAAUGACGUCGUCUGUAACCAUGGCAUGCAUUCCAAACUCAGCCCCAGCUUGGCUUCUCCUCAAGUUUGAGUGAGCCCCUGUCAGUCUACACCACCCCUCCUCAUGUUCGGCUGUUUUCAAGCCGGCACACUGGCAAAGAUGCUGCCAGGAAAGAAGGAAGCCAAGCCCAGGGAGAGGAGAGAGCUGGUUUGCUGUGGGUGGCCAGGAACAAGGUCCCGUGUGUGGAGGAGACAGAACACAGUCAUGAUAUCAGGCCGGGAGCAGUGGCUGACUCCUGAGCCCCUUUCAGAGAGUAAAGAGAGCUGGAACAAGGGAGCAAUGCUGACGGAAGGACAGACAGACAGAUGGACAGACUGCACUGGGGGCAGAAGGGCCCGCAGGCUCCAGACGAGCACGAUCAGCAGGAGAAAGCAGGCCAUGCGCAGGUGAUGUGGGUGCCAGAAGCAACCCAGCAGAUAGAGGAAUUCCAAUAACCGCACAGCACUCAAGUAAAAUAAAAACACCGUGACUUCGCAGCAA
Long non-coding RNA from Homo sapiens (human), 734 nucleotides. RefSeq lists it as uncharacterized. Lineage: Eukaryota; Metazoa; Chordata; Mammalia; Primates; Hominidae. The transcript has 2 exons. The record is from RefSeq and is a predicted model, not a curated record.